Molecule: transfer RNA, 87 nt
Filed under: Paenibacillus auburnensis
Lineage: Bacteria; Bacillati; Bacillota; Bacilli; Caryophanales; Paenibacillaceae
Description: Paenibacillus sp. JJ-7 tRNA-Arg
Source: RNAcentral
UGAGCGGCUGCAGCAGGUUCAGCUGAUUGUGGCCUGCGAUGUGACGAAUCCGCUGUGCGGGCAGCGGGGCGCAUCCGUGGUGUUCGG